AAACAUAUGGUUUCAUUCACUUCAUUCAUAGCUCAAUUCUUAAUUCAAAUAUUAUUUCAAUGGCAUUGAUAAUCUAUUAAGGCAUAACCAAGCCAUACUUCUGAAAUUUAAUUACCAAACAUUUAUCUAUACAUAAAUUAUAACAUUUCCAAACACACAUUGAUUCAUUAACAUGUUUAAUAUCACAUAGACUUUAUUUUGUCGAAUAUAUAUAUACUUCCCUAUAAACACGUUUAAGGUUCACAUUUCA
RNAcentral lists this long non-coding RNA (250 nucleotides) under Gossypium barbadense (sea-island cotton). Its description in RNAcentral is "long non-coding RNA (GBAR_LNC022865)". Lineage: Eukaryota; Viridiplantae; Streptophyta; Magnoliopsida; Malvales; Malvaceae. The record is from RNAcentral.